AAAAUAAUGAAAAAAAUGAUGUGUGGAAACAGAAAUCAGACCUAGAAAAUUCAGUCCCCCAUAAACGAGUUCUUUGGGUUUUGGAGAUAAAUAUGGCUGUAAAAAGAGUACUCUCAGUGGUCUUGACUUUUUGAUGUGUAGGGAAUACUUAAAAAAAUCUGGUUUAGGUUUAGUUUAUGAGGAUUUUCUCCCUCACGAAUAUAACUCUAUGCUUCCUUUCAGCAUUUGAAGUGAAGAUGGAGCCCUUAGGAGAAAUAUAUUGUAGCUCAUUUAUGAAGAACUUUCAUUUUAUGUCCUUCCUGAGUGAAGGAGAAACUCUCUGGAGCGCUUUCAGUGAGGAGUAAGUCUGAUGUCAUGUAAUAGACCACUAAGCGUAAACGACUCUUCCAGAAAGAGAAAGAAGUUGUGUAACUACCUGACUUUAUUCUCUGAGAAGCAAACCCAUGAAUCACAGCCGAGGCAGACACUCUUCAGCUCGCGUGUGAGACUCACAGAGGUGCUUCACAAUAACCAUCAUUACUCUUAAGUUCUCUGCCAUGUUGAGUUCACCUUCCCAUAGGCAGACAACAAGUAAACCAACAUGAUGAUUUCAGAUAGUGGUAAGUUCUCUGAAGAAGUAAACCUGGAAAGGGAAUCAAGAGUGAUGGUGGGCACAGGUGUGGGGGGACACUUUUUGAGAUAGGGUGAUCCCUCAGGGCAGGUCUCUCAUAGUCUCUGAAACAUCAGACUUGUAGUCCUUUUACUUGCAAAUAGUCCCUUCCGGGUGUCAUCAUGCAGUGAGCUGGGGAGGUGAUUAUAUCUGUGUGCUGAGGCCAGAGGUAUCAUCCUCUCAAUAAUUUCAGUUCAGUCAUUGGCAUGAAAAAGGAAGGAGACACUGUUGAUUUCAGGAAGAAAAAUGGGCUUGACUUUUUUCUGUAGAGAAAUUAUUGAUGUUUCCAGUGGCCUCUUCUGC
Molecule: long non-coding RNA, 952 nt
Filed under: Vulpes vulpes (red fox)
Lineage: Eukaryota; Metazoa; Chordata; Mammalia; Carnivora; Canidae
Description: lncRNA (ENSVVUG00000008906.1)
Source: RNAcentral